This 1031-nucleotide long non-coding RNA is filed under the name Heterocephalus glaber (naked mole-rat). RNAcentral's name for it is "lncRNA (ENSHGLG00000050157.1)". Lineage: Eukaryota; Metazoa; Chordata; Mammalia; Rodentia; Bathyergidae. The record is from RNAcentral.
AAGUAGUUCAGUUUGGCCUUGAACUUGCAACAAUCCUCAUGCCUCAGCCUCCUAAGUGCUGCAAUUACAGGACCAAGAACAUGUUGAACAUGUUUGAGGAGGUUCAUGUUGUCUUGAUGCUGCUCAAAAGUAAACAGUGAAAAGCUGGUGCUUAAGGCACAUGACAGUUUUCUGUGAAAUUGACUUGUAUCCAUCUUUUGAAGAACUUUCUCAGAGCUGGCCUUGGUAGUGCAUAUCUAUCAUUUUUGCACCCUGGAAGACUGAGGCAGGAGGAUUACGAGUUUGAUCACGAGAGACUUAGCAAGACUCUGUCUCUCAGUGUGAAGGUGCCAGAUUCAAUCUACAACACUGUCAAAAACAAAAACAGAAACAGAAACAACUUGAACUUGUUCAUGAACUUUUUCUGUGCAACUUUCCAUGAGUUUAACACCUUUUCCCAUCCUCCACACCCCUUCCUUCAGAUCACUUGUACAUACCUCUGUCAGAACCUCAUCAUGAUGCAAUUGCAAACACUUGCAUUAUGUGAGUUUGCUUAAAGUUUGGAAUCAUACGUGUUUUAUUUACACUUUUUGUUAAUCUAUGUGAGCUGUGUGUGUGGAAUAGACUGGUUGACACUGAUACUAGUUAUUCUUUUAUUACCACAUGGCCCUCAUUUUCUAGAGCUUGGGAUACCCCCUGUUUUUGUUUACUCUGUUGCAAGAUUCUUGCAUGGAUAUUUUGGCUUUGAAUAAAGUCUGGAAAGAGCUCUUCUACUACAGGGGAGCAGAGUAGACAGAGGAUAGUAUGUGUUUAAUACAUCUUAAAAGAAUGAGUAGGUGCAUGAGGGGACAGGUACACCUGCGAAUGAAAGUAGGAAGGAAAAAAUGGCAGAUUUAAUAGUUUUUAUGGAAAUGACAGCUUGGACAUUAAUUUUUAAGAUCUUGUAGUGCACAUCAAAUGUACAGUAGUUGAAAAAGUGUUCAUUCAUGAAGUAUAGGGAAUUCUUAAGGGUUUCAACUCAAGAUAUUGAUUCCUUUCAAAGGCUUAUGGGC